UACGGGGGGGGGUAAGCGUUGUUCGGAAUUACUGGGCGUAAAGGGCUCGUAGGCGGCCAACUAAGUCAGACGUGAAAUCCCUCAGCUUAACUGGGGAACUGCGUCUGAUACUGGAUGGCUUGGAUUCGGGAGAGGAAUGCGGAAUUCCAGGUGUAGCGGUGAAAUGCGUAGAUAUCUGGAGGAACACCGGUGGCGAAGGCGGCAUUCUGGACCGACAUUGACGCUGAGGAGCGAAAGCAUGGGGAGCGAACAGG
Molecule: ribosomal RNA, 254 nt
Filed under: uncultured bacterium
Lineage: Bacteria
Description: partial 16S ribosomal RNA
Rfam family: Bacterial small subunit ribosomal RNA
Source: RNAcentral